RNAcentral lists this transfer RNA (76 nucleotides) under Escherichia coli. Its description in RNAcentral is "tRNA-Thr". It matches the Rfam family "tRNA". Rfam says of the family: Transfer RNA (tRNA) molecules are approximately 80 nucleotides in length. Their secondary structure includes four short double-helical elements and three loops (D, anti-codon, and T loops). Further hydrogen bonds mediate the characteristic L-shaped molecular structure. tRNAs have two regions of fundamental functional importance: the anti-codon, which is responsible for specific mRNA codon recognition, and the 3' end, to which the tRNAs corresponding amino acid is attached (by aminoacyl-tRNA synthetases). tRNAs cope with the degeneracy of the genetic code in two manners: having more than one tRNA (with a specific anti-codon) for a particular amino acid; and 'wobble' base-pairing, i.e. permitting non-standard base-pairing at the 3rd anti-codon position. The record is from RNAcentral. Lineage: Bacteria; Pseudomonadati; Pseudomonadota; Gammaproteobacteria; Enterobacterales; Enterobacteriaceae. RNAcentral also lists the same sequence under 2 other names.
GCCGGUUUAGCUCAGUUGGUAGAGCGCCUGCCUUGUAAGUAGGAUGUCAGCGGUUCGAGUCCGUUAAUCGGCACCA